Drosophila teissieri is the source of this 319-nucleotide long non-coding RNA. RefSeq lists it as uncharacterized. The record is from RefSeq and is a predicted model, not a curated record. NCBI's taxonomy places the organism in Eukaryota, Metazoa, Arthropoda, Insecta, Diptera, Drosophilidae. The transcript has 3 exons.
AAUAAUACAUUUUCUAUUUUAAUACUAUAAGUGCAGUGGACGCGAGCGGUAAUAAACACGUUGAGCGCUGAAUAAAUGUAAAGGAAUGUCGAUAAACUAGAUGUUUCUUCUGUUCUUUCAUAGAUCGAAUAUUUCGCCAGAUAUUAAAAGACUUUGUUCUGCAGUAUUUGUGGAAUAUGUAUUUCGUAUCAUAAAGAAACUACACAAAAGAUUAACUAAUUGGAUGUCUUUUCAUAUGCAACAAUGCCCGAUCGCAGCUUCACUUACACUUAGCUUGGAAAUGGACAACGGCCACUAAGGAUUCACAUAUACACAUCUA